UGCCAGCAAAUGAGGCGGUUGGUAGACUCCCAUCUCAAAGUACCAAUGCCCUCCUUGUGAGCAGAAGUACAGAGCUUGUAAAGGUUCUGACUCGUCCCAUCUUCCCCUAAGGCAAUCUCGUGACCUCCACCCAGACAAGUCCCUGGAGCCAUCUCCUGUGGCACAAAGAACAAAGGAUACUGUCCUGUCCCUCCUGACCACUGGUCUAAGGCAGGGAUGAAGGUUUCAGUUCUCAAAAACGGUGAGGGGGUUUUGAAGAGACAGAAGACCUUUUUGCCUUUUUUCAGGCCAUUUUCUCUGUUACAGUAUGAGCAGAAGCAGUUCAAGAGAAAGGAAGAAGUCACAGAGCAGGAGAAGAAGGAGAAUGCACCUUUGGAGAAUGGCAGAAAUCCAGGCAGAGUGCUAGGAUUACAGGCGUGAGCCACUGCACCCGGCCCCUCAUUUGCUCCUGAGAGCUCACUCCUUGGACACACACAGAGGCCCUUCAGUGUCUGCUCUGCAGUCCCCGCCGUAGCAGCAUGGAGUUCCUCUGCAUUCCCAGGAAACAAUGAAGAUCACUGGGCCACCCAGGGACACACUCUACCAGGAAAGGGCUGUGCUUCCGGCCCAACCUCUGUCUUCUCUUUACCUGCGUCUCGGCUUGGGCAGCUUUGACAGUCUAGCAGCAGCCAUCAAAGGGCCUGCACAGGACGGUCCCAGAUUCCACUGAGAAAGGGGACCUCGUGAAAAGCAGGUCAUUUAUUUUUGUAUGCCCCUUUGUCUUUGUCUCCUCCUGGCCUAUUGUCCCCAUCAGCCAACAUAAACCUGUGGGGAGGAGCAAAAGCUCCACGAGAUCCCUCUAGAUGUGUCACCAUGAGAUCCCUCUAGAUGUGAAAUGAUAGAGGCCUUGAAGUUUCUGCUUUUUGCUUUCAGGGGUGAAUGAAAACAAACAUGAUGGUUCAAGUAUGUGAGGGACGUUGUACCCGUCAGAGACCAUAACUCUGUAGUGUUUAUUAUAUUAGCAUCUAAAUGCAUGAGCAUUAAUGCAGGUUCUUGAUUUUGUUCUGUUCUGUUCUGUUUUUUAGACCUCUCAGCCUAAUGAGAGGUUUCCCUUCCUAAGUGGUAUCACUGCCUUUGCACAGCGCACAACUCUCCGAGCAGGAGGCCCCUUUUCCCCUGGACGGGCGCGGGACAUGCACCCGCACCAGACUGUGAGCCCGGUGGGGGUGGAGAGCAUCGUUCAGGUGGCUACAGAAGGUCACGAGGAACAACCAUCCUCCCAGACCCAGCGCCCUAAUGAGAUUCCUGUGACGCCUUAAUUCCCCGUUAAGCUUGCAUGAGAGACACUUUGAGAAACGGCGGAACUGACGGGAUUUGCAGGGCAGCUUUCUCUUUUUUGGCAGUAGUAAUUGUUUGGUUCUUCAUUUGUACUCAUUCAAGCCCAUGGACCCUCACAUACUUGUAAAAAACGUUUUCAAAUGGAAGUCAAUCAUGACUUCCUUCACGAGCACUCUAUUUCACUACAAUGUCAUCCUUUGCCCACUGGGGAUAGAGCUAUUUAAAAUCGUCAUUAUGAACCUGUUCUCUCCUGUCGUGUCAGAGCCGACCACCGCCACCGCGCACUGAACCCGUGGGCGGCACGGUGACCACGGUCGCUGAGACCCCGUUGAAUGGGCCAGCGGCCAUCCAUCCUGGGCACGCCUGUGGUCAUGAAGGCUGGCAGCAGUCAAUUACGGCCCAACCAAACAGCACACACGUGGCACUGAGCCACGUGGCACUGAGCCAGCCAUGCUGUGAGCAGAUACAGGGGGCUGGCGAGUGGUAUUGGCACAUUGUAAGGAGAAAGAGGGGGUAGAAAUGAGUAUUUAUUAAGCAUUCACCGUACACAUGGCACUGGGCUGGGCAUUUUGGAAAUACACAAAGAAGUUACAGGCCGUGGCUGCUGCCCCGGGAGCACGCAAGCUAGCGCAGGAGCCGAACGCCCCGGACACAGGCACCCGCAUACUCAGACACACGCACCGCCUCCCGGUGUUUCUUGGAAUAAAUGGCAAAACAAUGACUAUGACUACUGCUAAUAGCUAAUAUUUAUGGAGCAUUUUCCAUGUGCCAAGUACAGUCUUAAAUGCUUUAAAUAUUUUAACCCAUUUAAUCCUUUCAAUUUGAUUACACUGGCCCUGUUAUUACCCCCAUUUCGCAGUGUGGAAAGCCAGGAGGAGAGUUAAGCUGGUAAGCAGUAGAGCCAGGAUUUCAACCCAGGCAGUUUCGCUAUAGACCUGUGCCAUUAACCCUGUAGACUACACUGCCUUUGGUAUCUCAUGUAUACAUGAGACGUACGUUAUAAACCGGAUAGGCUUCGCUUUCUGAAUUCUUACUGUCUAAUAUCAGGAACUGAGUAAUGUGCAUGUGUGUGUGCAUUUAUGUUAACAUACUGCUCAGAGCCCUCACUAUCCAUAAUCCUAAUACUUGCUAUUUGAAACUCAGGAAUCAAAUAUAUUUAGAUGAUAUGGUAUCCCUUGAUACCCAAACUUACUAUCUAAACUCUCACCAUUCAAUCUCAGAAAUGGAAUAAUUUGGAGAGGAGUGAUGCUUGUAUGAGUCAAAUAAUUGGAGCAAAUAAUGAAUGUGAUAGGAGAUGGCAGUUGAAAUAAAGUCCUCGAGGAUAAAUAAUGUUAGGCCAAAGAUGAAGGAGAAGGCCAGAGUUUCUGAGACAUGCAGGCAGGGAGUAACAACUUGUGUUUGGAAUGAGACCUGAGAGCCUGUGUAUGGAGAAGGGCAAAGAGAAGGAGCCAGAGAGGGAGGCAGGGGCUGAGUUAUCAGGAUGUCAGUUGGGCUUUAUCUUGGAGACAAUGAUGUGUUACUGGGUAAUUUUAACCAGGUGAGUGACACGAUCAGAUUUGUAAAUUAAAAACAUCACUAUGACUUUGGUAUUUCAAAAGGUUCAAGCUGGGUGCUGUGCCUCGCGCCUGUAAUCCCACACUUUGGGAGGCCAAGGUGGGAGGAUUGCUUGAGGCCAGAAGUUCCAGACCAGCCU
Non-coding RNA from Microcebus murinus (gray mouse lemur), 3010 nucleotides. The record is from RefSeq and is a predicted model, not a curated record. Lineage: Eukaryota; Metazoa; Chordata; Mammalia; Primates; Cheirogaleidae.